Molecule: ribosomal RNA, 433 nt
Filed under: uncultured bacterium
Lineage: Bacteria
Description: partial 16S ribosomal RNA
Rfam family: Bacterial small subunit ribosomal RNA
Source: RNAcentral
AACGAACGCUGGCGGCAUGCCUAACACAUGCAAGUCGAACGAGACCUUCGGGUCUAGUUGCUCACGGGUGCGUAACGCGUGGGAACCUGCCCUUAGGUUCGGAAUAACUCCCCGAAAGGGGUGCUAAUACCGGAUAAUGUCUUCGGACCAAAGAUUUAUCGCCUUUGGAUGGGCCCGCGUUGUAUUAGCUAGUUGGUAGGGUAAAAGCCUACCAAGGCGACGAUCCAUAGCUGGUCUGAGAGGAUGAUCAGCCACACUGGGACUGAGACACGGCCCAGAAUCCUACGGGAGGCAGCAGUGGGGAAUAUUGGAAAAUGGGCGAAAGGAUGAUCCAGCAAUGCCGCGUGAGUGAUGAAGGCCUUAGGGUUGUAAAGCUCUUUUACCCGGGAUGAUAAUGACAGUACCGGGAGAAUAAGCUCCGGCUAACUCCGUG